UACAGAGGUCUCAAGCGUUGUUCGGAUUCAUUGGGCGUAAAGGGUGCGUAGGCGGCGCGGUAAGUCGGGUGUGAAAUCUCGGAGCUUAACUCCGAAACUGCAUUCGAUACUGCCGUGCUUGAGGACUGGAGAGGAGACUGGAAUUUACGGGUGUAAGCGGUGAAAUGCGUAGAUAUCGUAAGGAAGACCAGUGGCGAAGGCGGGUCUCUGGACAGUUCCUGACGCUGAGGCACGAAGGUCAGGGGAGCAAACGGG
Molecule: ribosomal RNA, 255 nt
Filed under: uncultured bacterium
Lineage: Bacteria
Description: partial 16S ribosomal RNA
Rfam family: Bacterial small subunit ribosomal RNA
Source: RNAcentral